This 218-nucleotide ribosomal RNA is filed under the name uncultured bacterium. RNAcentral describes it as "partial 16S ribosomal RNA". It matches the Rfam family "Bacterial small subunit ribosomal RNA", at positions 57 to 305 of the family's 1533-position model. The record is from RNAcentral.
GCAAGUCGAGCGCACCUUCGGGUGAGCGGCGGACGGGUGAGUAACGCGUGGGAAUAUGCCCUUCUCUAAGGAAUAGCCUCGGGAAACUGAGAGUAAUACCUUAUACGCCCUUUGGGGGAAAGAUUUAUCGGAGAAGGAUUAGCCCGCGUUGGAUUAGGUAGUUGGUGAGGUAACGGCUCACCAAGCCGACGAUCCAUAGCUGGUUUGAGAGGAUGAUC